This 423-nucleotide ribosomal RNA is filed under the name uncultured bacterium. RNAcentral describes it as "bacterial SSU rRNA". It matches the Rfam family "Bacterial small subunit ribosomal RNA", at positions 358 to 772 of the family's 1533-position model. The record is from RNAcentral.
GGAAUUGUUCGCAAUGGGCGCAAGCCUGACGACGCAACGCCGCGUGGAGGAUGAAGAUCUUCGGGUCGUAAACUCCUGUCGAAUGGGACGAAUAGGGUGUGGGUUCACAGCCCGCCACCCUGACGGUACUGUUAAACGAAACCCCGGCUAACUCCGUGCCAGCAGCCGGGGUAAUACGGGGGGGGUAAGCGUUGUUCGGAAUUACUGGGCGUAAAGGGCUCGUAGGCGGCCAACUAAGUCACACGUGAAAUCCCUCAGCUUAACUGGGGAACUGCGUGUGAUACUGGAUGGCUUGGAUCCGGGAGAGGGAUGCGGAAUUCCAGGUGUAGCGGUGAAAUGCGUAGAUAUCUGGAGGAACACCGGUGGCGAAGGCGGCAUCCUGGACCGGUAUUGACGCUGAGGAGCGAAAGCCAGGGGAGCAAA